Molecule: ribosomal RNA, 245 nt
Filed under: uncultured bacterium
Lineage: Bacteria
Description: partial 16S ribosomal RNA
Rfam family: Bacterial small subunit ribosomal RNA
Source: RNAcentral
UACGUAGGUGGCGAGCGUUGUCCGGAAUCAUUGGGCGUAAAGAGCGCGUAGGUGGCUUGUCAGGUCUGAUGUGAAAUCCUGGGGCUCAACUCCAGAACUGCAUCGGAAACCGGCUUGCUAGAGUCUGGGAGAGGAGAGUGGAAUUCCUGGUGUAGCGGUGAAAUGCGUAGAUAUCAGGAGGAACACCGGUAGCGAAGGCGGCUCUCUGGAACAGUACUGACGCUGAGGCGCGAAAGCUAGGGGAG